UUGCUCUUCAACGAGGAAUUCCUAGUAAGCGCAAGUCAUCAACUUGUGCUGAUUACGUCCCUGCCCUUUGUACACACCGCCCGUCGCUACUACCGAUUGAAUGGCUCAGUGAGGCCUUCGGACUGGCCCAGAGAGGUGGGCAACUACCACUCAGGCGCCGGAAAGUUGUACGAACUCGGUCAUUUAGAGGAAGUAAAAGUCGUAACAAGGUCUCCGUUGGUGAACCAGCGGAGGGAUCAUUACGAGAGUGUCACCGCUCCCAACCCAUUGUUUACCUACCCGUCCACCGUGCUUCGGCAGGCAGUCCUGUGGGACAGGGCCCCGCCCCCUUCGCUGGGGGUGCCUGCCGCUGGCCAACCAACAACUCUAGCUGUUUUAGUACCAUCUGAGUCUUCCACAAAUGAACAAAACUUUCAACAACGGAUCUCUUGGUUCUGGCAUCGAUGAAGAACGCAGCGAAAUGCGAUAAGUAAUGUGAAUUGCAGAAUUCAGUGAAUCAUCGAAUCUUUGAACGCACAUUGCGCCCACUAGUAUUCUGGUGGGCAUGCCUGUUCGAGCGUCAUUUCAACCCUCAAGCCUGGCUUGGUGUUGGGGCCCUGCGCCUGCAGGCCCUUAAAUCCAGUGGCGGACACGCUAGGUCUCCGAGCGCAGUAGUUUCUUCUCGCUUCGGGCGUCCGGCGUGGGCUUGCCUUGCACCAUUUUUCUAAGGUUGACCUCGGAUCAGGUAGGAAUACCCGCUGAACUUAAGCAUAUCAAUAAGCGGAGGA
Molecule: ribosomal RNA, 767 nt
Filed under: uncultured fungus
Lineage: Eukaryota; Fungi
Description: eukaryotic LSU rRNA
Rfam family: Eukaryotic small subunit ribosomal RNA (bases 1-242)
Source: RNAcentral